This 503-nucleotide ribosomal RNA is filed under the name Vibrio splendidus. Its description in RNAcentral is "bacterial SSU rRNA". It matches the Rfam family "Bacterial small subunit ribosomal RNA", at positions 19 to 501 of the family's 1533-position model. The record is from RNAcentral. Lineage: Bacteria; Pseudomonadati; Pseudomonadota; Gammaproteobacteria; Vibrionales; Vibrionaceae.
CUGGCUCAGAUUGAACGCUGGCGGCAGGCCUAACACAUGCAAGUCGAGCGGAAACGACAACAUUGAAUCUUCGGAGGAUUUGUUGGGCGUCGAGCGGCGGACGGGUGAGUAAUGCCUAGGAAAUUGCCUUGAUGUGGGGGAUAACCAUUGGAAACGAUGGCUAAUACCGCAUAAUGCCUACGGGCCAAAGAGGGGGACCUUCGGGCCUCUCGCGUCAAGAUAUGCCUAGGUGGGAUUAGCUAGUUGGUGAGGUAAUGGCUCACCAAGGCGACGAUCCCUAGCUGGUCUGAGAGGAUGAUCAGCCACACUGGAACUGAGACACGGUCCAGACUCCUACGGGAGGCAGCAGUGGGGAAUAUUGCACAAUGGGCGAAAGCCUGAUGCAGCCAUGCCGCGUGUAUGAAGAAGGCCUUCGGGUUGUAAAGUACUUUCAGUUGUGAGGAAGGGUGUGUAGUUAAUAGCUGCGCAUCUUGACGUUAGCAACAGAAGAAGCACCGGCUAAU